AGUUCCAAGGUGAUCCUUGGCCCAAGCAAUCUUCCCACCCCAGUUCCCCAUCUUCCCCUGGUUGCCCCGGCUCCCCCGCUUCCCUGGUUACCCCUCGGCUCCCCCGCU
Non-coding RNA from Myotis brandtii (Brandt's bat), 108 nucleotides. Lineage: Eukaryota; Metazoa; Chordata; Mammalia; Chiroptera; Vespertilionidae. The record is from Rfam.